This 477-nucleotide ribosomal RNA is filed under the name uncultured bacterium. RNAcentral's name for it is "partial 16S ribosomal RNA". It matches the Rfam family "Bacterial small subunit ribosomal RNA", at positions 30 to 507 of the family's 1533-position model. The record is from RNAcentral.
AUUGAACGCUGGCGGCAUGCCUUACACAUGCAAGUCGAACGGUAACAGGUUAAGCUGACGAGUGGCGAACGGGUGAGUAAUGUAUCGGAACGUGCCCAGUCGUGGGGGAUAACUGCUCGAAAGAGCAGCUAAUACCGCAUACGACCUGAGGGUGAAAGCGGGGGAUCGCAAGACCUCGCGCGAUUGGAGCGGCCGGUAUCAGAUUAGGUAGUUGGUGAGGUAAAGGCUCACCAAGCCGACGAUCUGUAGCUGGUCUGAGAGGACGACCAGCCACACUGGGACUGAGACACGGCCCAGACUCCUACGGGAGGCAGCAGUGGGGAAUUUUGGACAAUGGGCGCAAGCCUGAUCCAGCCAUGCCGCGUGCGGGAAGAAGGCCUUCGGGUUGUAAACCGCUUUUGUCAGGGAAGAAAAGGUUCUGGCUAAUACCUGGGACUCAUGACGGUACCUGAAGAAUAAGCACCGGCUAACUACGUG